Molecule: ribosomal RNA, 496 nt
Filed under: uncultured bacterium
Lineage: Bacteria
Description: partial 16S ribosomal RNA
Rfam family: Bacterial small subunit ribosomal RNA
Source: RNAcentral
ACGAACGCUGGCGGCGUGCCUAAUACAUGCAAGUUGAGCGCUGAAGGUUGGUACUUGUACCCACUGGAUGAGCAGCGAACGGGUGAGUAACGCGUGGGGAAUCUGCCUUUGAGCGGGGGACAACAUUUGGAAACGAAUGCUAAUACCGCAUAAAAACUUUAAACACAAGUUUUAAGUUUGAAAGAUGCAAUUGCAUCACUCAAAGAUGAUCCCGCGUUGUAUUAGCUAGUUGGUGAGGUAAAGGCUCAACAAGGCGAUGAUACAUAGCCGACCUGAGAGGGUGAUCGGCCACAUUGGGACUGAGACACGGCCCAAACUCCUACGGGAGGCAGCAGUAGUGAAUCUUCGGCAAUGGACGAAAGUCUGACCGAGCAACGCCGCGUGAGGGAAGAAGGUUUUCGGAUCGUAAAACUCUGUUGGUAGGGAAGAACGUUGGUGAGAGUGGAAAGCUCAUCAAGUGACGGUAACUACCCAGAAAGGGACGGCUAACUACGUG